UUAGGUUGAAUUACCAAAUCUUGCAUUGCUUUCUCAGUUUCCUGGAGGAGUCUGGAAGAAUUAUCAACAUUCACUUGAGUAGAACCAUCCACAGGUUGAUGGGAUUGUCCAUCAGUGCGCAUCCCAUCAAAGAAUCCUUGUUCUUCUUCAGAAAUUUGUUGAAUUACGAAAUUGGUUUCUUCUUUCCUUGAGCUUCUUUCAAACUCAUCAUUUGGCAUCCCAACCUC
This 227-nucleotide unclassified non-coding RNA is filed under the name Hevea brasiliensis (rubber tree). Lineage: Eukaryota; Viridiplantae; Streptophyta; Magnoliopsida; Malpighiales; Euphorbiaceae. The record is from RNAcentral.